CCCUUAGAUGUUCUGGGCUGCACGCGCGCUACACUGAAGCGUUCAACGAGUAUUCACCUUGCCCGGGAGGGUUGGGUAAUCUUUUGAAAACGCUUCGUGAUGGGGAUAGAUUAUUGCAAUUAUUAAUCUUCAACGAGGAAUUCCUAGUAAGCGCGAGUCAUCAGCUUGCGUUGAUUACGUCCCUGCCCUUUGUACACACCGCCCGUCGCUCCUACCGAUUGAAUGGUCCGGUGAAGCGUUCGGACCGUGGCCUUUGGACGGUUCGCCGUCUGUUGGCUGCGGGAAGUUCGUUAAACCUUAUCAUUUAGAGGAAGGAGAAGUCGUANCA
RNAcentral lists this ribosomal RNA (328 nucleotides) under uncultured eukaryote. RNAcentral describes it as "partial 18S ribosomal RNA". It matches the Rfam family "Eukaryotic small subunit ribosomal RNA", at positions 1470 to 1796 of the family's 1831-position model. The record is from RNAcentral.